GCAUUGCCCCUGACAAAACCGGGGCAAAGGUGUGCUCUUAGGAAAGAGCCUUUCGAGGAGAAGGUUCCCCAGGUGAAACGAUUGUGUGUCCACACUUGGAAUUCUUCGUGCGGCGUGCAGCCGAAAUUGAGCUGCGGUGUUGCGCCCACCCGCUUCACAGAAUCGCGGAAUCGUUAGGGUUGGAAGGGACCUCUGGACAUAGAGUCCUGGAGUCAUCAGGGUUCGAAAAGACCUUUAUUAUCAUCAAGUCUAACCAUAAACCCAGCACUACCACUGUAACCCUUAAACCACUAAACCACAUCACUCAGCGCCACAUCCAGACGCCUCUUAAACACUUCCAGGGACGGUGACUCCACCAUCUCCCUGGGCGACAUAUUCCAAUGCCUGACGACCCUAACAGUGAAAAUUGUUUUCUAAUACCUAAUCUGAAUCUCCCCUGUGAUGAUCUUCAUGUCAUCUAUUCCAAGGCAGGGUCACCUAGAGCAGGUGACAGGAAUGCAUCCAGGUGGGUUUUGAGUGUCUCCAGAGAGGGAGGCUCCACAAGCUCCCAGGGCAGCCUGUUCCAGUCCUCUACCACCCUCAAUGUACAGAAGUUGUUCCUCGAAUUGAAGCAGAACCUCUUGUUCAGUUUAUGGCCACUGCUCCUCGUCAUAUUGCUGGACACCACCAAAAAGAGGCUGUCACUGUCCUCUUCACAUGCUCUUGAGAUAUUUAUAUGCAUUAAUGAGAUCCCCUCUCACAGUCUUCUCUAGACUGAACAGGUCCAGCUCCCUUAGUCUUGCCUCAUAAGAGGUGCUCCAACCCCUUAAUCAUUUUUGUGGCCCUUCUCUGGACCCUCUCCAAUAAUUCCUUGUCUUUCAUCAUAUAAUUAGUGCUUUUAUGGAGAUUGAGCACAUACUGAGGCAAUCAUUCUGAAUUAAGUAUGAGAGCAGCCAACAUCAAGGGUGUUUAUAAGUUUUCUGACAUGUCAUACCACAAAUUCAUCAGAAGGUGGGGUAGUUGUACUUCUGAUUUUUAAACGUUUUCAAGUAUGUGAACAAUUAAGCAUUUUUUUUAAUAAUUACUGAGAAGUUAUCACUUCAAUAUUGAUUAACAGAAUGGAUCUGGACUUGCAUAACUAAUGCAAUUAUAAGGACACGUUUUCAUUUUUAGCAUAAAGAAAGAACUCUGAAACAAUGGGAAGGAAUUUAUUUAGAAUUAAAGGCAUCAUAACAGCAAAAUCGUGUUCUUUACAUACUGUAAAAAAGGCCAUCAUGUUGCUAGUUUUUUGUGCAUUUUGAAACAAUAGUGCAGUAAAAUACAAAUUUUUUUGUAGUACUUUGAGUUUAAUACUGGGUAUACCAGACUUGAAAUUGUAAACAUUCCACGAGCAAGAGGAAAAUAACAAAGUACAUUUAUUUUAAAGUGUGGUGUUGUAUAUACACUUGAAAUAUUCCAGAGAAGUACGUACCAAAAUGGUCUGAUGGUGCAAGUCUAAGUCAGCUAGCUCAACAAAGUUCAAACUAUACAUUGAUAGGAAGGCUUUAUGAGGUGGAGGAAAGAAGUGCAAGUUUUAGCCCAUCUCUUUAAGUUCCUGGGCUUGUUCUAAGGAAGCAAAUUUAUGUUGUCAUGGAUACUCAGGGUGCAAUCUGAAAAACAAUUCAGUAAACAAGUGGAGAACAGAGAGGAGAAAGCACCGUCAAACAAGGAUGCUGAACCUACAAUUGGAUGACACCCUCUGCUGUAUGGCAGAGGAGUUGUGUGGCACCACCCAGAGGAACCAAAAGUCUGGAAAAGCUGCUCCUCCACUUCCAUCUCUGAUGCAUUGAAUCAUCAGUUCCAGAAAAACAUUGUGUGUGUCCAGAGAAAGGCAACAAAGCUGGUGAAGGGUUUGGAGAGUAAGUCAUAUGGAGAGCAGCUAGGGGAGCUGGGGUUGUUUAGCCUGGAGAAAAGGAGACUGAGGGGAGAUCUUGUCACUCUCUACAAUGACCUGAAAGGAGGUUGUAGCCAGGUGGGGACCAGCCUCUUCUCUCAGGCAACUAGUGACAGAAUGAGAAGACAUACUCUAAAGCUGCACCAGGGGAGGUUCAGGUUGGACAUCAAGAAGAAUUUCUUCACAGAAAGGGUUGUCAAGCAUUGGAAUGGGCUGCCCAGGGAGGUGGUGAAGUCACCAUCCCUAGAGGUGUUCAAGAAAUGACUGAACGUGGCACUUAGUGCUACAGUUUAGUUGACAUGGUGAUCAGUCCAAGUUUGGACUUGAUGAUCUUGGAGGUCUUUUCCAACCUAAAUGAUUCUAUGACUCUAUGAUGAUUGUGGAAAGCAAGUUAAUUAGAAUGAGAGCGCCCUUUGAUUUCAUGGGUGCAAACAGGUAUCCACAAUGAAACAUAUGGAAGUAAAAGCUCAGUCACAACCUGGAGAGCUGUGAGCAAGAAGAGAUCCUACAGUUUAACACACUCUAAAUUAAAGUGCAACAGUUUUACUUUGUCAUCAUAGAGUGGAAGAAUGCUUAUCAGCUGCAAAUCUGUAAAUACAGACCUGCAGAGGUAGCUGAAAAUCCUAUCUGCUUUCAUAUUGAUACCUUUUCUGCAAGUCUGUGAGUUCCUUGGGCCUGUGACACAUUUAUGUCUGCAAUGCAAUCUGCAAAAGUAUUACAUACUUGUGACAUUUUAGGAAUACAUAGGAGACAUCAUGUUUGCAAUGAGCAGAACCCUUGGGAAUAGAGAAGCUUCCCAACAAAAUUUCGGAAGAAAAUGCAAGGCCAGCAAGGAACUGGCUAUGGCUUCCCAGAUUUCUGGACUUUUAUUUUCUAAUUUUCACCAGUUGGAAACAGUUGCUGAGCAACUCCUUCCUGUGUACUCUGGCUGCUUCUCAUGUGUGAUAACUUUCUUUAGGUUACCUAUAUAUCCUCUGUGCUAUGUGGUCUGGGAGGGUCAUCUGCCUUCUAUUUUGUGUUGAGAUGACUGGCUAAGCCCAUAAGAGUAGAACAGCGGAUGUUGUAUACCUUGAAUUUAGCAAGGGCUUUAGCAUUGUACCUAAUAUUUUUACAGCCAAACUGGUGAACCAUGGACUGGAUAAAUAGACAGUAAGAUGGGUGGAAAAUUAUCUGAACCAUUGAACUCUAAGGGUAGUGAUCACUGGUACAAAGCUGGUUAUGAGUGACUUGACCCAGAAAUUGAUGCCAACCAUGCUUGUUCUCAGUAACAACUUGGAUGACUGGAUCAAGUGUAUCCCUUGCCAGUUUGGAGAUAUAUGUAUUGGGAAGGGUGUUCAGUACACCGAAGUGCAGGGUUGCUGUUUGGGGAGCUUAGUCAGGCUCCAGAAAUGGGCUGUCAGGAACCACAUGAAAAUCGCCAAAGGCAAAUACGAAGUUCUGCAUGUGGGAUGGAAUAUGCCCAUGCAACAGGACAGGGCAGCACUGGCUGGCUAGGAAGCAGCUUUGUAGGAAAGGACCCAAGGCCCUUGUGGGCAGUCGGUUGCACAGUCACCAGUGUGCCUUUCUGGCAAAGAAGGGCAGCUGCAGCAUGGGCUGCACUGGGAGGAGGGUAGACAGCAGCUGGAGGGAAAUGGUGUUUUUUUCCUUCUAUCUGGUACUUUUGGCAUGACCUCAAAAGUGGUGUGUCCAGUUGUGGGCUCCCCAACACAGAAAAGACAUAGACAUAGUGGAGCGAGUGCAUCAGAGGGACAUUUUGAUGGGCUCUAGCACGUGAUGUGCAAGGAGAGACUGAGAGAUAUGUUCCGUCCUUCUCCCAGGCAACCAGCAAUAUGACAAGAGGGCACAGUCUUAAGCUGUGCCAGGGGAUGUUUACGCUGGACAUUAGGAAGAAGUUCUUUACCGAGAGAGUGAUUUGGCAUUGGAAUGGGCUGCCCAGGGAGGUGGUGGAGUCUCCGUCCCUGGAGGUAUUUAAGAAUAAACUGGACACGGCACUUAGUGCCAUGGUCUAAUAGACAAGCUUGGAGACUCAAUGAUCUCAGAGGUCUUUUCCAACCUAGUUGAUUCAGUGAUUCUGUGAUUCUGUCCUAAGAAGAAAAAGCUAAUGCUGUGAGGGGGGGAAACUUACUAUUCUAUGACUACCUAACCAGAGAGUGUUGAGGAGACAGAGGUGCAUUCUUCUCAGAGGAGCAGUGGAAGGACAAGAGGCUGUGACCAGAAGUUAGAGCAUGGGAAACCCAUCUCAGUGCAAGUGGAAAACCUUUGCCUUGAGAGUAUGCUGCAACAGGUUGCCGUUAUACUUGUGGAAUAUCUAUUCAAGGAGAUACUUUGUGCUGGUUUAAAAGUUUAAAUGAAAUGAACACGACUUGAGAGAUUGCAAGUCAGAGUUAAAAUUCACUAAAAAAUAUUACAAUAAAUAAAAUGAUACAGAGAAAACUGGUUUUAAUCUAUAAAUAUAGAUGUAUAACCCAGCACCCUGGGACAAGAACAGAAUGGUGUUUGUUAGCACCUGUGCUGAGAACCAUGUGACCCCCCUGGGUGCAAAGUAAAAGGAAAGGAAACUUGUUGGUUCAGAUGAUGGUGGCAGUUCUGUUGAGGUAAUGAUCACAGUCUUGUUGAGAGUGGCAGUCGCAGUCUCAUGGAAGUUCUGGUCCUCCUCUGGAUCUGACGAGUGGUACCAGAAGUCCCAAAACUGAAGAUGAUAUAUGCCCAGGUUCAGGUGGGAACGCCCAGUACCUCCCCCAGGGCAGAGAAAUUUACAACCAACGUUUUCACAGUUUUGGUUAUGCCCACAUAGUGAUAAAGUUGUCCUGGCCCCUGUAACUAGGACAUACUUGACACUUGACUAGCCACUGUCUUCAGCGUAUGGAUCUAAAUAGCCUACACUGAGUAGGACGUUGGUGUGUUUUCCCAUGGUUCCUUCCAAAUGACCUGAUUCUGUCUAAGGGAUUCAUUACAUGGUAGUCAUUGAAUGCAUAUGGACUGAUGCCACUAAGAGACAUCUAUCUCUCUUCAUUCCUAUUCUUGAAGUGGAAAGUACAGGUCAAUGGAUGUUUGUUUUUCAGUGGACAAUAUAAAAAUGAAACAAUUAAAAUGAAAGAAGAAGAAAUGAAUUUUGAAUUUUCAUUUAUAUAGUAUGUUACUUGAGUUUUGGAAGUGCAUGGACAAUAUUAUAUGUAUGUCAUCUUUGUGUCUUUUUGAUAUUUAAUUUCAUAACUUCUUUUUUUCCUCAUAAGAACUUUCUAGUAAUUGCGUUCACUUUCAUGUUGGAGAUAAUCACGCCAUGUAACUUUGCACACACCGAUAGUGAUCCAUCUGAAACCUAGACUUUUUGCUCCUACCGAUCUGUUGGUUUUUUUCUGUAGCUUCUGAUUCCCAGACUAACUGUAAUUAUGAUGACAAAGAUGAUGAUGUGUAUUCCUACUGCUGAGAGAAGUUUACUAGUAUUUUUUGAAGUCUCAUCUUCAGUGGAGAGGUGAAGUAAUUUCAUCGAAGCUAAGUUCUCUGGAGUCAGCAACUACACACAGAGAUAUAUACAGUUGUAUAUCUCAAGUGCUUUGAUUAACAGCUUAACAGUUUCCUACUUGAACUGAAGUCUCCUGGUGCUUUCCCACCCCACUACUAGCUAGAAAAUUUACAGGCUUUGAGAUUUCCCCCACUGGCAGUCCAGUAUUUGAAAGCUUAGAAGAGAAAGGUUUGUAUGCAGGUAGUAAUUAGUUAUGGGAUCAUUGUUCUCUCAGGCCAAUGCUCAGAGAGGAAAAAAAGACAAAAGACAAGACCAAGACAAAACCAGUGUGCAACAUAUACUCAAGUCUAAAGUCUGAUUUCAGAUAGGUUGACUGUUGCAUGUUAGUAAUGGAUCUGUUUCUAGCCUUUCUUAGUUUUUUCUCUUGUAAUGGUUUCCCCCCUGCCAAAGUUAUAUAUUUAUUUAUAGUAUCCAAUAAUUUUAUUCAGAAAUAAAUGGUAAAUGGUAGUUACAGAGACAUUAUAGUCUCACUAUGGGGUUAAAUACACAGACAGUUCUGGGUGAAGUUGUAUAAAUCAUAAGCGUGUACUCCAUCAACUUCCAUUUUUAUACCCAUAAGAUGAGGCAUUAGGAACAGUUUUUACCUUGUAAAAUGAAGAAAGAGAAACAAUAAGAAUUUAUUGCACCCCAUAAACAGAAGAAAAGAAAGGGAAUAGAAUUUAAGAAAUAAUAUGCUUACUCAAAACAAACCAGAGAUUAAUAUUAAAUAUAUACACUAUAUAUCCCAAGUAAUUCAGUGUAAUAAAUAACACAGAAAGAUUAUUGUAAAUCAUAAGACCUAGUUUAAUUUCCUCAUAUCGUUUUUUUAUGUAAGAUCAACCAGGCCUUAUAGGAAACCACAGAACGUAAUUUUGCAGUGCACUCUUUUGAACUGUGUUUGUGUAAGUAAAGACUGAAAUAAUAAUGUGUUGAAUGUUUCCCAUAUUACCAAAUGUUAUAGCAACCUUGCUGUUUGCGUAUAGAUUCUGCUAUAGCUGAGUCUUUUGCUGUCUCUGAGCUUCUUAAUGGUCAUGGUCUGCAGUAUUUGGUUUCCCUUCUUGACUCUAUGUUUUGAUAUGUCAAAAUUAUUAUUUUAGAUUACUAAACAGAAUUAGGAUUCAGUGGAAAAAUUUGUUAUUGACAUGUUGGAAACUAGGUGAGGUCUGUAAGCAUUGUCUCCUGCAGUAUGAUUUUGGAGUAUUUUCAAUAAACAUCUUACUAACAUUUUUGCCAGCAAGUUUUUAAUAAGCAUGAAAAUAUAUUAUCCUCUUACAUAUAACUGUAAAGAAAUACAGUAAUGUCAACUAUCUGAUCAGAACCUUAAGGCCAAAAAGGCCCAAAUUUGGAUGGAUUUUCAACGAAUGGUUUUUAAGGGCUGUCAUUUUUCUGUACUUACCUAUGACUUGUCAACAAAACUGUGUUAUAGAGCAUAAUUCAAGAACCAAAGCAAAACAGCUUUCACAG
Pseudopipra pipra is the source of this 6878-nucleotide long non-coding RNA. RefSeq lists it as uncharacterized. NCBI's taxonomy places the organism in Eukaryota, Metazoa, Chordata, Aves, Passeriformes, Pipridae. The record is from RefSeq and is a predicted model, not a curated record. The transcript has 3 exons.